UACGGGGGGGGCAAGCGUUGUUCGGAAUUACUGGGCGUAAAGGGCCCGUAGGUGGCCAACUAAGUCAGACGUGAAAUCCCUCGGCUUAACCGGGGAACUGCGUCUGAUACUGGAUGGCUUGAGUUUGGGAGAGGGAUGCGGAAUUCCAGGUGUAGCGGUGAAAUGCGUAGAUAUCUGGAGGAACACCGGUGGCGAAGGCGGCAUCCUGGACCAACACUGACACUGAGGAGCGAAAGCCAGGGGAGCAAACGGG
Molecule: ribosomal RNA, 253 nt
Filed under: uncultured bacterium
Lineage: Bacteria
Description: partial 16S ribosomal RNA
Rfam family: Bacterial small subunit ribosomal RNA
Source: RNAcentral